Triticum dicoccoides is the source of this 2784-nucleotide RNA transcript. RefSeq lists it as uncharacterized. The record is from RefSeq and is a predicted model, not a curated record. The transcript is spliced from 4 exons. NCBI's taxonomy places the organism in Eukaryota, Viridiplantae, Streptophyta, Magnoliopsida, Poales, Poaceae.
CCCACGCCCCGGCGGCCCGCCCGCGCCCCCUGCCGGCCUGCCCUACCCAGCCGCCGCUGCCGCAUCUGCAGGAAGGAAGGAGAGGUCAUAGGAGCACAGAGACAACUCAUACAAGGACCUGCUGUCGCGCCACACAUCUGUCAUUGUCGGCACUCGACAGCAUCUCGGAUUGUCGGCAGCCUAUUCUCCAGUUCGUCAUCAUGUCGUCCACAGCAGAAACUGAGCAUUCAGUCAACAUGGUUGAACCUGGUGGACUGCGUAUCAUUGGUGAUGAUGACAUGACUGAAGAGGAGAUGCGAGUUUAUGAUGAAGAACAAAGAAAGAUUGAUGUGUAUGAAAAGGAAAAGAAGGAGAUGGAGGAACGACCUACAAGAAGACAGAUGCAGAAAAGAUCACGGAUGUGGGAUCACUUUUCAGAGGUACUAGUUGGUCGUGUCCUCAAGUUUGGAAAGUGCAAGUAUUGCAAUCGUGAUAUCAAGGCCGUCCCAGAGAUUAACGGUACAUCUGCAUUAAACAGUCAUUUUAGUACUUGCAAGUAUAAUCCUCAUAAUGAUAAGAAUAAGAAUCGAGGUACUUUGCAAGUUAUCCAAGGGGAAAGUCCUUCAGUGCAUAAAUUUGAUCCUGAAGCACUAAGGAAAGUUAUUGCUAAGAUGAUUAUAGUAGAUGAGCUUCCAUUCACAUUUACUAAAAAAGCUGGUUUUAGAGAAGUGAUGUCAAUUGCAUGUCCACGUUUCAAUAUGCCUUCUAGAAGAACAUGCACUAGGGAUGUUGUGAAGCUUUAUUUUGAAGAGAGAGCGAAGCUGAAACUUUUUUCCAAACAAUAAUGUCAAAGAGUGUGUCUCACUACUGAUGGUUGGACUUCUCAAACACAAGAUUGUUAUAUGACAGUCACGACACAUUUUAUUAAUCCUGAAUGGAAUUUGCACAAGAAAAUCAUUAGUUUUUUUCCUAGUAAAAGGUCAUAAGGGAGAUGAUAUUGGAAAGUCCUUAGAGCAAUGCUUGAUGGAGUGGGGAAUAAACAAAGUUAUGACAAUAACUAUUGAUAAUGCUAGCACGAAUGAUGGUGGUGUAGGUUACAUACGGAAGAAAAUGAUCAAAACUGGAAAUAGCAUAGCUGAAGGUAAAUAUUUGCAUAUGAGAUGUGCUGCCCAUAUUAUAAAUCUGAUUGUUACUGAUGGUCUAAAAGAGUUGGAUGAAUCAGUUAAGCAUGUGUGACCUGCGGUUAGAUAUAUAAGAAAUGGGCCAUCUAGACUUACAAGAUUUAAAGAACUUGCUCAGUUAGAAAAGGUGGACAGUGAGGCAUUCUUGAGUUUGGAUGUAUGCACUAGAUGGAAUUCCACAUACCUAAUGUUAGCAACCGCAAUCAACUUUGAGAAAGUGUUUGCGAGGUAUGAGGAAGAAGAUCCACUCUAUACAUUAGAUUUAACUAGUGAGAAAGCUCCUGGUAUCCAUGUUGAUAGUGAUUGGGAGAAUGCUACGAAAAUGGCUGAAUUUCUUGGACAGUUUUAUCACCUUACUCUUAGUGUUUCCGCCACACUCCAUGUCACCAUGAAUCAAUUUGUUAUGGAUAUUGCUGAAAUCAAUGUUGUGUUGGAAGAGUGGGCUGAUAGUGAUGAUAUUUUGCGCAAAACUAUGGCCAAGAAAAUGCAAGAUAAAUAUGAUAAGUAUUGGGGACGUUGGAAUGAGGAGGUGGAGAAUGAAAGGGGAAGGGGAAAGGAACGAAAAAGGAAGAGGAGAAUGUGAACAUGUUUGUAUUUGUUGCAACUGUUCUUUAUCCAAGAUUCAAGCUUUCAAAUUUCACAAAACUAGCAAUUGAAGAAAUGUAUGGUGAGUUAAAUGGAGGAAAAGCUUGGGAGGCAGUGAAAACAUUUAUGCAUGCUUUGUUUUAAGAGUACAAAGCUAAGUAUGCACCAAGUGAUGCAAGCAAACAUGUGCGAGCUCCACAAUCUGAACCAACUCAAAAAAGGGAAGGAAGGAAAUUGGUGUCUCGGAUAAAUAAAAAGUUGAGAGUUGGUGGUGAUGGUGAAGCUAGCAUGAGCAAAUUUGAAUAUGAGAAAUACCUAUAUGAAGAGAAUGAAGUGAAUAGGGAUGAUUUUGACAUUCUAAAAUGGUGGGAGAACAAUGCUGCUAGAUUCCCAAUAUUGGCAAGAAUGGCCUGUGAUGUGUUGGCUAUUCCGGUAUCCACGGUUGCGUCUAAGUCGGCAUUUAGCACAAGCGGUCGCAUCUUAAAUGAAUUUAGAACCUCGCUUACACCAUUCAUGGUCCAAGCUCUUGUUUGUGCCCAAGAUCGGCUAAGGGUUUCUAUUACUAUCAACAUUGAAGAAGAUGAGGAGGAAUUAUUAAGAUUGGAAAAGGAACUAAUUGAAGAGUUUGGUAGUACAAAUAAUUCAAAUCGGAAGCAAGUAGUAGCAAGUCUGUUUGCAAGCCAUCUCGGGCUGAGCCAUCUUGCCCACCUCCAUCCUCUACUUAAACAUUGAUUGGCUCUCUUGGCUGGAACAUGGGAUGGUCAAGAUGCUCAUGUUCAUGAUGGCAAAUUGGGAGUCUUACUGUUGGCUGCUCUUCAACUUCAAGUGUCGGAACUUUGUUAUCUACUAAUCUAUUGUCAUUUAUCACUAUUAGUAUGUGUUGUUGAACACUUGAACUUGGACUUUGGUUAUGUCUAGUGCUGGAACUUGGACUACAAGUUUGUCACUCUGUGUUAUUUAACUUGGACUUGGUUAUGUAUUGUGCUGGAACUUUGGUUAUGUAUCUAUUGAACCUUGUUUAGCUUUGGUUAUUGUGCUG